GUGCUCUCAUGGUGACUGGCCAAGGAGGAACCCCUCUGCACAGAGGUCUCUGUUUCUUACUUCUAUGAAGUAAAGAUAAAGCACUUAGCAGUAUGCUUGGCACAUAAUGUGCAUUUACUCCAUGUUUUUAAGUUUAAUACAUUAUAUAAGUGUGUAAAUAGGCCCUCAAUAAAGAUGAAAAACUACGUUCUUUGGAUCAAUGAGAGGAAAACUGAGAGAAGAAAGUGGAUUUGCCAAACUAAACUUCAACAAAGAUCCCCAGAUUGUAGCAUCUCUGAAAUCCAGACAUUCUCAUAAUGGAAAGCAUCUUAUGUCAUCGUGGCCAGGAAGUGGUCCUGAUGUGAUGUUCAUUGCUUGGACCUGCACGAACUUGACUGCCAUUCUUGGUGGCCUGAUCGACCAAAUGCAGCCCUUCAACACUCAGGCAGGAAGGAAGUCUUGCUUAUUGUCUAAAAACCUUUCUUUGACACCUGGUUAAAAAAAAAGAUACACAUACUUGCAAUUGAAUAACACUGAUUAUCUCUAGAUUAUAAACAUUUUCAAUUUCUUCUUUAUAUCACCCAUUCCUUUACAGCAGCACAGAAAUAGACUAAUGCAGGGGAUUAUAUAAAUCUAUGAAGAUUUACUGGGGACUCUGAGUUGAUAGUAGCCUAAAUUUUCACCUCCCGACUAUUCUCUGAAUCAUGAGAAGGUUUUCUAUGAAAAAAGAAAACGGAGAUGAGUCUGAGCACAACUUCUCCAUGAUCUCCAGGGGAAGAAAGUGUGGGG
This 768-nucleotide long non-coding RNA is filed under the name Homo sapiens (human). RNAcentral's name for it is "non-protein coding lnc-STARD13-6:5". The record is from RNAcentral. Lineage: Eukaryota; Metazoa; Chordata; Mammalia; Primates; Hominidae.